RNAcentral lists this ribosomal RNA (249 nucleotides) under uncultured organism. RNAcentral describes it as "partial 16S ribosomal RNA". It matches the Rfam family "Bacterial small subunit ribosomal RNA", at positions 355 to 597 of the family's 1533-position model. The record is from RNAcentral.
UCGAGCAUCAUUCACAAUGGGGGAAACCCUGAUGGUGCGACGCCGCGUGGAGGAUAAGGUCUUCGGAUUGUAAACUCUUGUCAUGUGAGAGCAAGGCUCUAGCGUUAAUAGCGUUGGAGUUUGAUAGUAUCACAAGAGGAAGAGACGGCGAACUCUGUGCCAGCCGCCGAGGUAAUACGGAGGAUGCAAGAGUUAUCCGGAAUUUUUGGGCGUCAAGAGUCCGUAGGUGGUUGUUCAAGUCUGCUGUUC